RNAcentral lists this ribosomal RNA (497 nucleotides) under uncultured bacterium. RNAcentral describes it as "partial 16S ribosomal RNA". It matches the Rfam family "Bacterial small subunit ribosomal RNA", at positions 28 to 507 of the family's 1533-position model. The record is from RNAcentral.
GAUGAACGCUGGCGGCGUGCCUAAUACAUGCAAGUCGAGCGAACGGACGAGAAGCUUGCUUCUCUGAUGUUAGCGGCGGACGGGUGAGUAACACGUGGAUAACCUACCUAUAAGACUGGGAUAACUUCGGGAAACCGGAGCUAAUACCGGAUAAUAUUUUGAACCGCAUGGUUCAAAAGUGAAAGACGGUCUUGCUGUCACUUAUAGAUGGGUCCGCGCUGCAUUAGCUAGUUGGUAAGGUAACGGCUUACCAAGGCAACGAUGCAUAGCCGACCUGAGAGGGUGAUCGGCCACACUGGAACUGAGACACGGUCCAGACUCCUACGGGAGGCAGCAGUAGGGAAUCUUCCGCAAUGGGCGAAAGCCUGACGGAGCAACGCCGCGUGAGUGACGAAGGUCUUCGGAUCGUAAAACUCUGUUAUUAGGGAAGAACAUAUGUGUAAGUAACUGUGCACAUCUUGACGGUACCUAAUCAGAAAGCCACGGCUAACUACGUG